Molecule: long non-coding RNA, 737 nt
Organism: Sardina pilchardus (European sardine)
Lineage: Eukaryota; Metazoa; Chordata; Actinopteri; Clupeiformes; Clupeidae
Exons: 2
Source: RefSeq, a predicted model, not a curated record
GAAGAACGUACAAAAUCUCGAAAGGGAAGAACAGUCGCACCACAGAUCCAAAUGAGGUGGCAGAUGAUUCUUAUGGGUUUUUCACCAGAUCUAGUGAAUCAAGCAUUUGAAUCUUUCUCAGGGAGAGAACCCCCAGGAUGAGGGCUUAGAAAUGUGAAAAAAUGGGCAAACUCUCAUUUUGAUGCCAAAUUGAUCACAAACGCCUAGCAACGGGGACGCUGGCUGCUCAAGCUGCUCUGUCACCAGGAUCCAUCACACACCAACUCCCUGCGCUACAGAUGCUCCGCUAUCAUCGCAACGGACUGAAUGUCGCUGGAGUUAAUGCUGCUAAUCUUCUUCAGCGACACAUCCAGAGCUCUUCCGCAGUCAAAGCCGCUCUUAAUGAAUGUGAGGUCUCUUUCGAACAAGACCUACAUUCUUCAAGACAACUUUAUGUCUCUUCAGCUGAACUUUCUAUUCAUUACAGAGACUUGGCUCAACAACGGUGAUGUCAUUCCUUUCUGUGAACUUUGCCCUCCUAAGUGCAGCUUCUUCAAUUCCCCAAGGUCUACUGGUCAUUGAGGUGGUUUAAAGACUGUUGUUAUUUUGCUUUUAUCAGGUACAGCUUUGUAUGUCUAUGUGCACACUGAACUUUAUUGUCUGUCCUGUUUUGUUACUUGUGUUGUCAAUCAGUGUAUGUCUUGCUGCACAAUCAAUUGCCCUUUUGGGACAAUAAAGAUGGAAAGUUGAAAGUUGAA